RNAcentral lists this transfer RNA (62 nucleotides) under Gigantidas vrijenhoeki. RNAcentral's name for it is "tRNA-Val". Lineage: Eukaryota; Metazoa; Mollusca; Bivalvia; Mytilida; Modiolidae. The record is from RNAcentral.
AAAAUAGAAUAAAGUUAAGUUCAUUUCAUUUACACUGAAAGGGUCAAUCUGUAGUUGUUUUA